Non-coding RNA from Prunus mume (Japanese apricot), 1282 nucleotides. The record is from RefSeq and is a predicted model, not a curated record. NCBI's taxonomy places the organism in Eukaryota, Viridiplantae, Streptophyta, Magnoliopsida, Rosales, Rosaceae.
AUGAAAAUGAUGAGGGAGAAGAUCAAGAUCAAGAAGAUUGACAACUUGCCUGCAAGGCAAGUGACCUUCUCAAAGAGGAGGAGAGGGAUCUUCAAGAAAGCUGCAGAGUUAUCUGUUCUGUGUGAAUCUGAGGUGGCAGUUGUCAUCUUUUCUGCUACUGGCAAGCUUUUUGAUUAUUCAAGCUCAAGUAUGAAGGAUGUUAUUCAAAGGUACCAAGCGCACAUAAAUGGUGGUGAAAAAUUUAACGAACCGUCUAUUGAGUUGCAGCCAGAGUAUGAAAACCACAUCAGAUUGAGCAAGGAACUUAAGGAGAAGAGCCGCCAGCUGAGGCAGAUGAAAGGAGAGGAUCUUGAAGAGCUGAAUUUUGAUGAGUUGCAGAAGUUAGAACAACUGGUGGAUGCAAGCCUUGGCCGUGUGAUUGAAACUAAGGACGAACGGAUUAUGAGUGAGAUUAUGGCACUUGAAAGAAAGAGAGCUGAGCUUGUAAAAGCCAACAAACAGCUAAGGCAGAGGAUGUUAUUCAGAGGAAAUAUUGGACCUGAGCUUAUGAAGCCGGAGAGGUUGAAUAAUAAUUUUGGUGGUGGAGGAGAAGAAGAAGGUAUGUCAUCUGAAUCUGCUACCUCCACCACCUGCAACAGUGCUCCGAGUCUCUCUCUUGAAGAUGACUCCGACGACGUCACUUUAUCUCUCAAACUGGGGCUUCCAUAAUUUCUCUGGUUAAGAAGUGGAGAGUUGUGAAUGUGUGUAAGAUAAAUAAAGAAAAUCGAGAACUCUCUAUCAAUGCAGCCUGCUCUGGAGACUCUUGUGGACUUUGUAUUUGCUUGGGUUAUCAAUGUAGCGGCAUAGGCCAACCUUACUAAAGGAUUCUAAGCCAUGAAUAUUGGGGAAAAAGACAACUCAUUGGCCACAAAAAAGAAAUGAUAUAGAACAGAUGACGGAAGCAAUCGAAAAUGAGUUGAAGAGACGCGCGCACAAGGGUAAAUUGGACAAACUGCAUAUUUGGACUUCCGAACUCAGAAUCAGAUCCAUGACCCUUCGAUUAGAAUAGAGCGGCGUCAUGAGUAAAGCUCAUUUAUUAGCCAUGAUGUAUGAGCUUUUUCGGGCACCCGAGACCGUUUAGUAGUCCGAAAUCCAGUUUUAAAUUUUUUGGAAACUUUGUUGUUUUCCUAUUUAAAUUCCUUGUUUAAUCCUAGAGUUUUUACGAGUAUUUAAAUAAAUUUUACCCAUGGCUAGAGUUAUGUUUUGUUAUUUCAAUUAUCAUGUAAAUCUUGAAGUUUUCUCA